UACGUAGGGAGCAAGCGUUGUUCGGAAUUACUGGGCGUAAAGGGCUCGUAGGUGGCCAACUAAGUCAUACGUGAAAUCCCUCGGCUUAACCGGGGAACUGCGUCUGAUACUGGAUGGCUUGAGUUUGGGAGAGGGAUGCGGAAUUCCAGGUGUAGCGGUGAAAUGCGUAGAUAUCUGGAGGAACACCGGUGGCGAAGGCGGCAUCCUGGACCAAUACUGACACUGAGGAGCGAAAGCCAGGGGAGCAAACGGG
Molecule: ribosomal RNA, 253 nt
Filed under: uncultured bacterium
Lineage: Bacteria
Description: partial 16S ribosomal RNA
Rfam family: Bacterial small subunit ribosomal RNA
Source: RNAcentral